Molecule: long non-coding RNA, 34504 nt
Filed under: Ananas comosus (pineapple)
Lineage: Eukaryota; Viridiplantae; Streptophyta; Magnoliopsida; Poales; Bromeliaceae
Description: long non-coding RNA (ACOM_LNC007538)
Source: RNAcentral
UCUAUUUUACAUUAAAAUUUAAAUUUAAGUUUAAAUUAUGAAUUAAAUUUAAUUUUUAAUUUUUAAUAUCAAAUCUAUUCAUCUAUUUUACAUUAAAAUUUAAAUUCGAGUUAAAUCGUGAAUUAAAUUUAAUUUUUAAUUUUUGAUAUCAAAAUUGAAUUUAAUUAUAUAAUGUACAAAAAUUAAAUUUUAAAUAAAUGUCAAUUAAAUUUUGAUGCUUUUAGUUUAAAAGACUUAUUUAAAUUUUAGAUUUAUUAAAAAUUAAAAAAUAUAUAAAAAUAUCUAAUGUAUAUAAAAAAGAACAUAUUGCAGAUAUUUUCUAAUAAAAUAUAACAUAUAAAUUUACAAAAUGUUUUUAUUCUAAAUUCUUAAAUCAAUAUGAUUUAAUAUUUUUUAUUAAUUUAAAAUAAAUUAAAAUAAUUAUUACGUGCAUUUGUACGUACACUCAACUAGUAUCUAUUAACAUAUAUAAUUUCUCAAUAAUCUUGUUGAUGUGGCACAACCACAUUACUUUAGAAGUUUUUUUUUUUUUUUUAACUCAGCCCAUGUUCCAUUGUCUUUACUCCCACCCCUCCAUCUUCUCCUUGCAACGUAUACCUUACCUUCCUCCUCUCUUAAGCAUAAACUUCCAUCCCUCCAUCUUCUUCGUAUAAUAAAUCUAUUAAUUUCACAAACUUUUAUUAAUUAAUUAAUAUAUAUGAUUUCUUUCCCUUGGCUUAACUCCUACCCCUGCAUCUUCUCCUUGCAACGUGUAACUUACCUUCCUCCUCUCUUAAGCAUAAACUUCCAUCCCUCCAUCUUCUUCUUGCACCAAAUCUAUUAAUUUCACAAACUUAUUAUUUUAUCAAGUUAGAGCAUAUCAACACAACCAGGGUUAGCAACUUCCUAAUAAAAUAUUUUUAAAGAGUUAAUUUUAUAUUAGAGGACCGGAGGGCGAUAGGAGAUGCGGGGCCGGGGGGGCUGGGCGGCAUCGAGGUUGAGGGCGGUGCUACUGCCGACAAUGACUAUAGCGACAGCGACCGCGUCCUCGGUGGUGGCGGUGCCCGAGGUGGUGAUUUUAUUUAUUUAUUUAUUUACUUAUUUAUUUUGAGCUUUUUAGAAUUUGAUGGCUCUUUCCAACUAGAAUUUUCGUGCUCAAAAUAUGAUAAGAAUUUGAUCAUUUUUUUGGCCCAUUAUUUGUAACUGGCAAUAGUUAUUUACAGACUGAUUGGAGCUAACAAACGAAUAAUUUGAAUAACUAAUUUAUAUAUAUUUUUAAUUUGAUAUAAAAUAUAUGUAAAAUUCAAAAUAUAUAAAUAUGAAAAAAUAUCAAGCUAGCCCAAAUUAGAUGGUGCUUUUCUCUUCCAUUCUCUUUGUAGGUUCUGAGUAUACAUCUAAUUUAUCUUUAAGAAAAAAAAAUAUUAAAAGCAUUUCCUAAGACUGAUAUGACGCAAUCUACUUACGCCUCUACUUUUUAUUUAUUUUAUAAUGUGAAUAGAGCAUUUCAUAUAAUUCACAUUGAUGUCCGUAAGUUUCCUAAGCCACAGAAGCUCAAACCCUUGAAUUUGUGAUUUCAAGUUAAGUAUUUUAUCCACCUAUCAUAAGGUGUAUUAGUAGCUCAAUUAAUUUGUUUAAAAAUUAGAUCAAAAGUGGUCUAAUUUCAUGCUGUAACUUUACCUUCUUGAUAUAAUAAAAUUCUUUUCAUUGUGUCUACUUCAGUUAAUAAAUUACUCACUUUUUUUUAGGAUACAGAAAAAAAAAAAGUAUGAACCACCUCACCAAGAAAGCAACGAGUCAGGUAAUGGUUUGUUGGAAAUGCUAUUGCAGUAGUUAUAGUAGCUUUGUAUUAUUGUUGCUCUUUUACCAAUUUGAUUCUUUCUGAUUAUUUAAAUUAAUAUUCUUUAUUUUAUAGUUAGAGUAAUAUUUUUUACAUAUUUGAUGAAUUGUAUAUUUCAGGUUUAUUUUUUCAGGCUAUCAUCGAUAAUCAAUAAUAAUAAAUAAAAUAAUUAUUUCGAUAAUACCUACCCGCUGCAUCGUGCGGGUAACUACACUAAUAUACAUAUAUACUUAUAUACAUUUUUAGUCAAAUCACACUUCUGGUUCUCAAACCUUAAUUUAUUGUAAUUUCUAAUUUGAACUCUUCUAGAUUGUUGUAACUAAGUAUCACAGUCUAAUUUAGUCGACUGAAUAAUAAUGUGUUGUUGAUAUAACUGUGACAUGCUAUCUUAUAACUGCCAUGUCAUCGAUCACAGUAGAACCAUGUUAAAAAUAUGUUUAGUCCACUAAAUUGAACUGCAAGACUUAAUUGCAACAAAUCUAAAAAGUUUCGAGCCAGAAAUUACAGUAAAUUAAUGUUUGAGUACUAAAGUAUCAUAAGCCUCAUAAUUUGAGUACUAAAAGUAUAAUUUAGCCUAGAGUGAAGUCAAAAAUAAAGAGGAGACCCAAAGCUUCUCAAUAGAUAAUUCCAACUACAGACAAGUUCCAGAUUCCGCAUCCAUCUGAAUGGUUUUUUCGCCAAAAAAUAAAAAAAUAGAAAUAAAACUAAAAAAGGGCAUGAUUUUAAACAUAGGAUGACCUAUUUUACAUGAUUCUAUUUCCUACAUUCCCACUCUAAGGCCUGCUACCAUGUAAUGUAAACAUAUUAAUGAGUUAUAUAAUGCAUCAAUAGAUUGGCUAAUGUAGAUAGCUAUGUUGUCUGAAUACACUCAACCAGAUUGGAAAGAGAUGUUCAUGGAUGAUGAGAUAAGAUGCUACUCACCACACAAGAUGAUCCUUACUUAGAUAUCAAAAGUUAGAUUAAUGCUUUGACCUCUCAUUUGAAAGCAAUAAAUAAAGGGUGAAACAAAACUACAAACCACUGCAAUCAAGUUCUAACUUUUACAGAUCUAACCAUGCGAAAAUGCAAUAGAAAGCGAGUGCGCUAUUGUUGAUAAUGAGAUGUCAUUAAACAAGAAUAAUUACUACUUUCCAAGUUUAUUACAGCUUAGAGAACUGAUCUAAUUCGAAAAUAGUUUUAAGCCAAAAUUACUGGGCGAAUUUGGAUUUCAGAUCAAUGCAAUCCAACAGAGAAAUACCCGGCUUCGCUUUCGAGAACUUCCCUUCAUUAAUCAAUGUCAACUAACUAGAAAAAGAGCACUCACAGAUAUAUGCACUAAUAAGGAAAUUAUUCUAUAUUUAAAAGAUAGGUUUUAUAUACAAAUGCACGUAUGUACAGACCUAAAAACAGUGCUGAUGCUUAAAUCACAUUUCUUGCAAAAUAUCUACAAAAAUAGGAACCCUGACUAUCGACAUCGCUUUUAACUUCUUGGUAUCAAUUCUCAUGCUUUCUUUUGUCGACUCCCUUGUUCUGUGUUAAAAGAUAAACGGCAAUCCUCAUCCUUUCUACGAUUUACUAUUUUAAUGAUAAACUAGAGUUGGCAUGUCUCCAAUAAAAUGAUUAACCUUUGCAUUUAGAGACAAAGAUGAAUCUAGUAUUGCACUAGCAACAAAAUAUAGUUUCUAAUUUACAACAAACAUUUUAGGAAGCAUUUAAUAGUAAUCGCAUAAUAGGUGAAACUGACACGUUGUAGAACUCAUGUAAAUGUUAGAGACAUAAAAUUAUGAUGUAGAACAAACAAUACUGAUGACAACAAAAGUAAGGAAAUGAAUCACAGCCAUCACUAUCUAGGAGUUGAAGCAUCCAUUCUAUGCAACAUGGCAGCUUAGGAAGUUAAUAGACAAAACAAUAAAAGAAAAGGCAAUCAUUCGUUUCCUCGUGAUUGCGACAAAUUAAUUUCAAGCAAACCCAUUCUGCAAUACAGUUAGCAAUUUCAGAGAUAGCAAUAAACUAGCUUAUGUAUGCCAAUGAUGAGCAGAAGUUCAAACUGUACAGUGUAUCUCAUAACAGUACAUAAUCAGCAAUACAAAAUCCUCCAUCAUGAUGCAAAAUCUAAUGCUAUUGCUGAUGAAGUAGCAAAUAUAAUAAUGUUUACACGCUAACUGCAGCUAGUCGUUGCAAAAAUUUUAUGUACAACAUUUUCGAAACAAUCAUAAAUUUUGGUCUAAUAUUCACUAAAAAUUUAGCUAGAACAGAAGGUAAUUUGCAUCUUCUUUAGCAAGACAAUAAAGAACAAACUUCCAUCUUUGUUUCAUAAAAUCAUCGCAAGCAACAAUAUGGAUAACGACAAAGACCAUAAGCAAUUGUUAGGAAUCCAAUUUACAACCAUCUAUAACAGAGUAUACCUUUCUAUUUAAGUCCAAGUGAACUAUAACCAAAUAUGAGUAUUCUUAUAUAUCCAUCUUAACUGAAGUUGGCGCAUCAAGAACAUUAAGAGAAAGAAACCAAAAUAAUGAUCUCCAAUGAAAUAUCUCAAUUAGUCAUUCAUAUAGCAGCACUUUGCAUUAACAGAAAAGGAACGACAAAUCGAUAGAAUUUCAGAAAGGUACAUUUUGAGUUCAACAAAGUUUUGAUGUACACAAAGGAGUCCGACGCAGCAAUACUAUACCAACAUAACUCAACAAUGCCUUGAACGACAAACAACAUAAGUUUCCAGUCGCGGGAUUUACAAGGAUCACUACACUACACCAAGAGAUCGUCGACGACUAAACCCAUCUCAUAACACAAAAGUAAAGAGAAAGAAGAGAGAAAAUUAAGCCCUAGAGACUCAUCCUUAGUGAUGAAAAGAAGGAAAGAAAGGUUAAAAGUAAGCGAAGAAUCUCUACAAUCUCUCAUAGAGGAAUUCCCUUUUGCGGAAGCAGAGGCCUAACGACCGAUUACAAUGCAACCACUUACCCCUGGAAAUCUCUCAUGCCUCAAAACCCCUAAUUCUUUUAUUUCCCAAUUCAACUAGGCAAUCGAUAGUAGGAGAGUGCAAACAAAUUCCCGACCCUGGUAACUUUCUGAAACUUGCUCGAUGCGGAAUUUAUCGCAUCAUAGCAGUUCCCCUCCUCUAAUAGCCUCUACAAUAAGGUAACAUGUAAACAUAGGUUCAAUGACAGGAACAAGAACAUAGACAAAGACGGUGGCGAAGAUCGAAAUGAACGGAGAAAACCCUAACGGAGGAGAUAAAGCUACCCCGAAUUCCCUAAUACGCUCAGAGCGCUAUAAUCCUCAGAUUUGUGCUUCCAACAGAAACGCGGCGUAAUUAAUUAAGCACGAUAAUUACAAUAGCAAAGAGGGGGAUUGAUAUUGCAAUAAGAGUUGUGUAUACCGAGAAGAUCAAUCCUCGCCAGUGGGACAGGGUGAGCUCUCUCCUCCGCCGGAUCCGGCCCUGGCGCCGGAUUCCAAAUCAUCGGCGUACGACGACGGGGGCGGCGGCGGCGGCGGCUGCGCGGGGCGGGACGAGGGGGACCAUCCGGUGCGGGUGCAUUCGGCAGCGGCACCGCGCGGUCAAGAAGCCGUGCUCGAACCCCGCGGCGCCGUUGGCGGGGAGCGGCGCGGAGGCGCCGUAGUGGCCGAGAUGCCGCUGCUGGUGCUGGUGUGGUGGUGGUGGUGGGGUGGGGGUGGGGGUGGGGGUAGAACUGCUGGUGGCUGUGGUGGUGCAGGGCGGUGAGCUGCUGGUGGUGCUGGAGGGUGGCGGCGCCGGCGGGAAGGGAUGAAGGGAUCGGGGCGGGGGGGGCGGCGGCGGCGGCGGAGGAGAGGCGAGGGGGGCGAGGAAGUGGGGGGACGGGGGCGGUGGCGAAGAGGUGGUCGUGGCGGGGUCGACGACGCGGCGGCGGCGGCGGGGACGCCGUGGGCGGCGGCGGCGGAGGCGCGCGAGGAGAGAGGAGGAGGAGGUGAGGCCCUGCAUGCGCUUGAGGUAGAGGCGGUACUUCUGGAGGUGGCUGGCGAGUUCUCGCGGGUGAGCCGUCCACGCUCAUCAGCUGCAUUAUCGUCUUCGGCACCGCGUUCUUGAUCCCCAGGUGCGCCACCGCGUCCACGAACCGCUUGUGCAGCUGCGGCGUCCCACCAGCCGCGGCCGCUUCAGCGUCGCGCCGGCUCCUCCCCGCCCCCGCGCCCCCGCCCCCGCCCCCCGCCCCGUUCAGAUCCGACCCCGCCGCCCCGUCGCACUCCGCCGGACUCUGCGCCGCCGCCGCCGCGCGAGGCCGUGGGCGUGUGGGGUGGCGUGGGAAUGCGCGCCGGCGGCGGCGGCGGCGGCGGCGGAGGGAUCGUGGUGGAGGCUCGUAGGGUUUGUAGGGGAUGGGGAGGGGGAGGAGGUGGGGAUGUCGAAGGCGAGGGCGAGGUCGGGAGUGAUCAGCGUCUGGGAGAGCGGGGUCAGCUCAUCCGGCCUCGGGAGCUGCUCCUCCCACCGCGCGAACCAGCUCGGCUCCUCCUCCUCCCUCAUACUUAAUACUACUCUUAUUAUUAUUAUUAUUAUUAUUAUUCAACUUCUACACACCCAACCAAAAAAAAAUAAAAAUAAAAAUAAAAAUCUCUCCCUUAUCUUAUCUCCUACAGAAAUUGAAAUAGAAAUAGAGAAGGAGAAGAAGAUUGAUGAUUUAAAGAGGAGGAGGAGUUAAGAGAAGGAGAGGAGAGAGUGGAUGGGGGUGGAGACUGGAGAGAGGUUCGAGGUGGAUCUUUCUCUUUUGUUUUUGGUGUUUUCUGAUGAUGCUCUCUUUCUCUAUAUCUUUCUCUUUUUUUUUUUCUUUUCUCUCUCUAUCCCUGUCUCUUAUUUUUAUCUUUCCUCUCUCCUUCUCUCUCUUACUAAUAUUCUCUUUCUGAGGAAGGAGAGGAGAGGAGGACUCGGGAUUGUUUAAUUUACUGCAGAGGUAGAGAGAGAGAGAGAGAGAGAGAGAGAGAGGGGUGUGUGUUGGGGGUGGGGAGAAGGGAGAGAGAGAGGGCGGAGGGACUAAAUUUGUGCAAUCUCUUUUGUUUGUUUGUUUGCUUCCUGGGAGGCUAUUCUUUGCUUUCUGGGGGAUUGGGUGUUGCUAUGCGUACCUCAAAUUGUACCCCCAAGGGUGGUGUUUAAUGUAGGUACCUUAUGAAGUACCCUUAAAUACAGGAAAGAAUUUUUUAGUGUCCUUAAAUACAGUUAAAAAAAGAUUUAGUAAGUAUAAUGGUUUAACCCUUUUUGUGAUUGAGAUAUGCUCACCCAAAAAUUUAGGUAUCCUUUUGGGUCUUUGAUAUUAAAAAUAAAAAUUACUAACGCCAACGUAAAUAUAUUAGCGCUUGGACGAAUAGAGUGCAAAAUUUAUAUUUAUUUUUGGAAGGUAUAGAUAACCGCCUUCCUUUUUCUGAUUAAUUUAAUUUCUAUGUAUAAAUUUUGUGGAGCAAAUGAAAUAUUACGCUAGCGCAAAAUAUAGUUGAUUCGAGCUACUUUGUGAUGGUUUAUGGAGUUCAUAUCCUAUCAUGUUUCAUAACAAAUAUUUCAAAACUGUAUGUUGUUGGUUUGAUCUUGCUUUUCUUAAUAGUCAUCUUCAGUAGGAUAUUUAGCGGUUGAAAAUUCUAGUCUACUGCAAUAAAAAUAAAAACAAAUGAGAUCUUGAGGCGUAAAAACAAAAGUCUAACUUGAUGCUCCCACUUUUAUUAUAGAGAAAAAAAUCUUAAUAUAAUGUUUCUUCAAAUAGUAUCAUUCAGACAAUAUAUUUUUUCUAUGAAUGUCAUAGAAUGAUGUUUAAUAUUAAAUAUUCAACACUCCUCUUCACGUCACGGCUAGUGAAAUUCAAACUCACAAUCUUAUACUUCGACACCAUUUGAAAUUAUGAUUUUUCUUUUAAAAUUUAAAUUGAUAGAGAAGUAUGUUUUAAUAUCAUAUAUUCAAUAAUUCACACAAACUUAUCUAUGCAGACCUAAGAUAUAAAUAUUCUUUAUUAUCAAAUUACCAACCAAAUGUGUAAUAUAUAUAUAUUAUCCGAUAAACAUCAUUCUCUGAUACCUUAAGCUUCUGGAAGAUAGCAAUUAGUUCAUUUAAUUUAACAUGGUGUUUGAGCAGGAGUUCAUGAGUUCGAAUUCCGCCAGAUUUCUAAUAUGUUAUAUCUUUGUAAUUAAAAGUUGGCGAGAGAAAGUACAAAUGGAAUGAGUCCGCCUACUAUACUCUUAUAAGUAUAGACUCCGUCGUACUCAUAAUUAAUAUUUCGGUUUAGAGCAAGUGACAAAAAGUUUGGUGGUUGGUACCCGAGGUCCCAAGUUCGAAUCCUAAUUAAUUCACAUUUCUAGCUAAGUUUAUUUCUAAAUAAAAUAAACAAAACGGGUAGCGUGCUACUUAUUUCUCAAAAAAAAGUAUUUCGGCCAUUAGAUCUACCCUCCACUAUCAUCCUAAUAGCACAUUACUUUAUCCAAACGGUCAAAAAUUUAUAAGUAGAAAAAAAAAAUUAUACUCAUAAAUAAGAGUAUAGCAGCACUAGUCCAUAUGGAAUUAUCUCUAAUAGUAUUCAGGGUUCAUUUUGAGAUACCCAUAGUACAUAGGAGAAAGAAGAAGGGGUGCAUCUUUAAACACUCUCUCUCUCUCUCUCUCUCUCUCUCUCUCUUCCUCUUUUAUUUUAUUUUAUUUUAUUUUAUUUUAUUUUAUUUUAAUUUUUCCGGGUUUUGGGGGUGUGAGGUAGUGGUUAGAGCUUGCUCGCGAGGGGUGUGUGUGUGUGUGUGUGUAUGUGCGUGUGGGCAGAUCUCGUGGGAGCCAUCAAAAGAAAGGGGUCUGGGUUGGCGUUAAUUACGGAAAUGGGACUCUGAGAUUUGGGAUCUCGCUGGCGCCCUCCUUGUCGCCAUGUGCCCUGUCCCGUUUUUGUAGUUCGUAUUAUUUUUUCUUUUUUUUAAUUUUUUUUUUUAGGAAAUAAAAAACGUGAGGUUUGUUGUUAUUAGGGAUGCAAAUGGUUCCGGUUCCGGGUUCCGGGUUCCGGAUUGGUAGAGCUCCCAUCCAGAUCCGUCCAGAAUGGGACGGUAAGUAGAUCUAGCAAUUUCUAUUCGUAUCGGUGGAUAUUUGUGGGUUAUCCACAAAUUUGUGGGUAUGGAUAUUAAAUUUUUUAGAAAAAACUUCAAAUAUUAUUUCUGUAAUUUCGUACUUUCUCAUUUUAAUACUUUAUGGUUUAAAAUGUAUCACUUUCGUACCCGAUGAUUUUAUUUUUCUCUUUUUAUUAUCCCCUCCUCUAAAUUUUUUUUUAAAAUUAAAACAAAAAGGUACGAAAGUGAAUAUUCGAUAAACUACAGGUGGGAUACCUGAAAUUUUUUUGGCAUAUAAUUUAACAAAAAAUUAAUGGAGGGACUGACGAACAGAAAAAAAUGAAACCAUAGGGUACUAAAUUGAUAGACUUUAAAGCACAUGGUACUAAAGUGAGAAAGUGCGAAACCAUAUGGAUGAUAUUUGAAGUUUACUCUUUUUAUAUCCAAAAAAUUAUGGAUAAAACUGAUGGUACCCCGUUAAGUUGUGGGUAUUUUUGGUAAUUCGCGGAUACGCAUAAAUACCCGCGUAUAUAUUUUUAAUUAAAAAUAUGUAAUUUUUAUGAUAUUGACUCUAUAAUCAUAAAAAAAUUAUUAAUUUUAUAUCACCACAAAAUUGGGAUAAUAAAAUAUUUUUAUAGUAUGUAAUUUAAGUGUUUUAAUAUUUUAUAUUGCUUAUUUUAUGUUGUGCUAUUUCAAAUAAUAAGUUAGGUUAUAUUUUUAAAAAUUAAAUAUAUACUAGUACAAUAACUCGUGUGAUGCAACGGAUAGAUAAUUGGAAAAAAAAAGAAGAAAACAACGACAAGAGAAGAGAAAACGGCGAUAGAAGAAGCGAUGCUGAGGGGUGGAAUUCAUCUUACUGAUGAACGAAGGCAACAGCCAAAGGAAGAGAAAGAGGAAUAGUUCGGCCUAAUACAAAAGUGUGAUUCGGUUCGGUUCAAGCUAAAAAAAAAAAAAGAAAACCCGGUUCAGUUCAAGCAAAGAAAGAAAAAAAAACUUCAAUCGGUUCGAGGUGAAGCCCACACUUGAUAGUGAUCAGUUCGAUUCAAGCAAAAAAAGAAAAAAUUUCAAUUCAAAGAUAAAAAUAUAUGGAGUAGUUGGGUCGGUUAGUCCCAAUGUAAUAGGUUGACCUGGUUCAGUUCAAGCAAAGAAAGAGAGAAACCAGAUUCGGUUUAAGUAAAGAAAGAGAAAUACAUGUGGAAGACUUGAACUGGUUCGGGGGAGCCCACACUCAACAAUGAUCGAUUCGGUUCAAGCAAAUAAAGAGAAAGGACUUGAGCCGGUUUAGGAUGGAGCCCACACUCAAUAAUAAAGAGAAUGUUGCCAUGUGGCAAAUUUAGGAGAAAUAAUGUAUAGGUAUAGAUAAAUAUAGAUAUAGAUGUGUUUUGCAUUUGUAACAGGAGCAAAAAAAGAUAAAAAAAAUCUUGCAGGUAACUUGCAUGCCCACCCGCGCUCCCGCCAACGGGUAUGGCUAUUCAAAAACUUGUGGGUAAAAUUUUAUCCAUGCUCAUGUGAUCUGCGGGUAGAAUGAUCCAUCCGUGGGUUAUCCAAUCCACUCGUUUGCCAAGUCUAGUGAUAAGUAAAAACAAAAAAUAUAAAAAAAAAUAUUAUCCAUUUCCAAUCCGCCCUAUUCUGCCAAGUAAAUGAAACGGUAAGUACAAGAUCCCCUUUUUUUUUAUCUGUUCUGAUUCGCUAAAAAUCAACUUUUCAGGCUCCCGAUCCAAUCAUUCCCGAAUGAGGCAGUAAGUGAAGGGCAAAAAUAAGAUUAAAAUUAUUCUACUUUGAAUCUGUUCCGACUUGACAAAAAAAUAGAGUAGAAUGUGAGGACUCUUGUUAUUAGGGACUGUGUUGCUUUUGUAUCGAUUUGUUGCAAAUUGCGCAAGGAAUAAAAUUGAGUUAUGAACUAUUAUCCCCCAUAGAAUUUGAAAAUUAUAUUAUAUAUAUAUUAGGUUUAAAUAUGGAAUAAAAUUAGGAUACUGCUUCUGCAUUGUUUUCAGGAUAUUUAAAUUAACGAGCUAUGCAGUUAAAUUUGAUUUGGACUGUUUGAACUUUCUAGUUUUUGAAUUUUACAAUUAUAAAGUUAUAAAACGUCAGUUAUCUAGUGAUUAAGUGAUCUCAAAUUACCGACUGUCUCUGACACAAGUGACAAAGGGCUUGAUGGUUGAUACCUGAGAUCCCCAGUUCGAAUCCUAGGUGAUUCGCAUUCCCAGCUAAUUUUAUUUUUAAAAGAAAUAAACGAAGCGGGUAGCAUGUUACCUGUCUCUCUUAGAAAAAAAAGUGAUCUCAAAUUUAUUUUAUAUUAGUCACUAAAAAUUAUUAAUUUACCUAUCUCUUUCGAGAAAAAAAAAAAAGGAAGUGAUCUCAAAUUUAUUUUAUAUUAGUUACUAAAAAUUAUUAAUUUUGAACUAUUUGAAAAUUAGGUACAUGAUAUCGUAAAAUCAUAGAAUUCAAACUUAAGAAGUUUAUAUAGCCUAAAUUAAAUUUAAUGACUCUGAUGCAUUAAUGCAAAAUAAAAGCUGAGCAGCAAAAUUUUUUAAGUAUUAAGACUUUAAUAUUUCCACAUUUCCUUUUAUGAUUGAACAUUCAAAUUGAUGAUUGAUACCAUUGUCUAUGAUCUAAGGUUUUAAUUUAGUUGAGUAGUAACCAAAUUUUAUUAAUUCUAAAAAUUAUUUUUUAACUAAUCAAGUGGUUUCAAAAGUGAAUAGUCAAAGCUGAACAAUCUUUUAAAAAUAGAGAAUAGAAUCUUUCCAUUCAAAAUGGGAAUUGUAAAUUUUGAUAUAGAUAGUUAAUUAAAAGCGUUUACAGUAAAAAAAAAAAUUUAGGCAUUUGAAUUAUUUUACACCGUUAAGCGAGUUAUUUUAUACCGUUAAACGAAAAACACCUGAUUUAAAUAGCAAAAACACCUGAUUUAGGUGACAUGAUAUCAGAGCUAACUUUAAACCACUUUAUUUUCUUUAAUCGUAAGUUUGGUUGCAUGGAAUGAACGAUUUCAGCGAUUUUCAUUCGGACAUCAUUUUAAGCUAAAACUUUUAAUUUCAUGUUGGAAUGAGAAUUUUCAACAAUGCUAUUUUAAGCCUAUAAGUUUCCGAUCUGUUAUCGUAAAUAGCAAUGCUCCUGUACUCUUAAAAAUAUUGGUGUAAAACUUAUAUUUUACUCCCGUAAAGAUCAAUAUUUUCAUACUAAUCUUAUCAAUAUUUUUUUAAUAUUAAAAAAUUUAUCUGGAUAGAUGUACAUCUUAAACUCUAUCAUUCAAGAGUUUAAAAUUUAUUUAUUUAUCUUUUAAUAAAUAACGUGCUAUCGCUUUAUUCAGUGAAAAAAUGAUAGGAUUGAGACAACUAUAUACAUGUCCAAUGACCUAAAAAGUUACACAAAACAACAAAAGAAUGCUACCAAACAAUGUUCCCAAAAGAUUUUACUUAACCUUAUAUUCUUUCCAAAACCUCCUGAGAUAUCUAAGUACAACAAUUGUCCCAAGUUAUUUUUCCUUUUAGAUUUAUAGCAUUAAAUUAAAAAAAAGGGUUGAUAAUACAAGUAGAUAAAAAUAUGAAUAUAGACAAUAACUUAUAAGUAGCACUGCUCUAUUAAAAAUUUGGAUAAACUUUAAAUACCACCUCUGUGAUUUCGUAUUUUUUUACUUUAGUAUCAUAUAGUUUAAAGUGUAUCAAUUUAAUAUUCUGUAAUUUUAUUUUUCUCUUUUCGUCAGCGCCUUCAUUAACUUUUCAUUAAAUCAUAUGCAAAAAACUUCAGAUACCCCUCUAAUAGUUUAUUGAAUAUUUACUUUAAUACCCUUUAGUUUUAACUUUAUCACUGAUUUAACGAAAAUAAUUAAUAAAAAGGAUAACAAAAAGAGAAAAAUAAAACUAUAUGAUACAAAAGUAAUACACUUUAAAUCACAGGCUAUUAAAAUGAGAAAGUACGAAAUCACAGAAGUAAUAUUUAAAAUUUUUUCUAAAAAUUUAAAAGAAUUGUCGAAAUUCUUGGAUGGAUAGCAAAAAAAAGUUUACAUUUUUUUUUUUUUGAAAUGUACUAAUAGCAUUUCUCUAUCGUAAAUUACUUUAUGUUUAGUUUAAUAUUAAAUGCUAACUUUUACACGUACUUGUGGAUGGAAUUAUCAUAGCAGAAAAAAUAAAACGAUAGAAACUUGCUAACCACUGAUUAGACAAUGUUGGAAAACGUUACUUUAUAAGUAGAAAAAGUGUUAUCCCUUACAUGUAAUUUAUUAGUUUGCACUCAAAGUGCCUUUUUUUUAACUGAAUUUUGGAUUAGUUAUUCUUUUUGGCGAGCUUUAAAAGGGGCUAUUUGGUUCUCCGAAAAAGUGUAAAAUUUUUUUUUUCUGAGAUAUAGGAAAUUUUUUUCGUAGUUCUUCGCCGGCUUUGUUGAAAGAAAAAUAGCUUUUGUGGUGUUUUCGUUUUUAAAAAAAAAAAAUGAAAAGGAAAACUCUAGUUUCUUGUAUAAGUCGGAAUUUUCUUUUUUUCAAAAAUACUAGUUUUUCUUCAAACCAAAUGGACGAAAACUUAAAACGAAGUUUUCCAUGAAAUUUUUUUUUUUUGAAAAAUUUUUUCCAUACCUUUUUUGUGAGAUCAACAAGUCCAUUUGGUUCAACAGAAAACUUUGAAAAAUAAUUAUUUGUGAAAAAAAAUUCAGUGAAAAAAGAUAUUAUGUUUAUAGUGUUUGGUUUGUAGGAAAAAAAAGUAAUUUUUCAUUAACAUUUAUUUGGUUGAAAGAAAAAAAUUCAUAUUUAUUUGGUUUGGUGGAAAAAAUUGAAUAAAAAAAAUUUUAGGCAACUUGUGUUUUCGUUGUUCAUCGAAAAAUGGUGGAAAAUAAAAACUUCAAUUUUUCUCCAAAUCUGUAAAAGUAUUUUUAUAAUUUUUUGUAAUGCAAAACAAAACAAGCAGAAAAAUAUUUUCAUAUCAAAAUAACUUUUCAGUUCAUUUUACGCAGAACUAGAUGCCCCCUGAGCGAAAAAUCAGUAGUUGCACCGAAUUUCUCUAAAAGAAGCAAUUUAAUCACACACAAUUAUGAGUACACUAUACUUUUAGAUGUAUAUAUAUUCAAAUAUGCUGUUUGAUUUUAUAUAUUUGUGUCUAUAGUUAGAAAUUUAGAAUUGUGAGUAGAGAUGACAAUUUUUUCUGUAGACCUCGUCAAAAUCGAAUGUGGAUAAAAAUGCUACUCUCCGUCCUGCAAAAUCUAUGAUCCCCGUAAAAUAUAUAAUAUAUGAUUACAUAGGUAGAUUGCUAAUUUUGAUCCUUUUAGUAUAUAUUUAAUUUAUUCAGAUAUUUUUAACAUAUUUAAUAUUUCAUACAAUAUAUUAGCUAAAUAAUAUUUGAUUGUUAUAUAUUUUUAAUAAUUCAAUUUGUUAUACUUAAUAGUUUAAAAUAAAUAAAAAAAUAAUAUUAAUAAUUGAACAAAAUUUAAAUUAAUUUGAAUUAAAUUUAAUUAAAUUUUAAAUAAAAAAUAAUUUAAUUUUUUUUAAUAUGCAGGGUUCCAAUAGGGACCGGGACAAAUUAAGACCCUAUUUACCUAUAGGGACGGGACGAAAAAUAGUCUCCAUUCUUAAUUAUAAUCAAUUUUGAGCGUAAUUUUAACUGUUGCUGUAACGUCCCUAAUAAUCCCACAUCGGAUGGGAUACUGAUUCCAAUCAGUUUAUAUGAGACCUACACGCUAAUAAUAAUAACCGGACUUAAGCAUUUUGGGCCGGUGGUUUCGCCCAACGAGUUAUUAUUGCUAGCGGGUAGGGUCGUUGCAAUUGGUAUCAGAGCCGAAUACCGGCCGGAAGUAUGAGAGCUUGUCUGUGAUCUGAUUGACGUCAGGGUCUAAACAAGUGGUUUGGGCCCAACGAGUUAUUGUUGCUUGCGGGGAGUUUGACGUCAGGGUCUAAACAAGGGGAGUUUGUAAGCCGGUGGUUUGGGCCCAACGAGUUGUUGUUGCUAGCGGGUCGGGUCGUUGCAGCUGCACAUCAUAUUAAUGUAGAUAUAUUUUUUAUAUAGUUGAGUAGAACAUCAAACAAGGGGAGUUUGUAAGCCGGUGGUUUGGGCCCAACGAGUUAUUGUUGCUAGCGGGUCGGGUCGUUGCAGCUGCACAUCAUAUUAAUGUAGAUAUAUUUUUUAUAUAGUUGAGUAGAACAUCAAUACUACUAAGAUGAUAAUAGCUAGAGAGAGAGAGACAUAGUUUCUUAGCUACUUUUUUCUUGUUGAAUGAUCACUAUAAUGCAAUAAUAGUGAUAUAGUUAUUAUUACUAUUAUUAUUAUCAUCAUCAUUAAUUCACAAAAAAUCUUGAGAUAAAAUUUUAAUAUGUUGGAUGUUAUCUACAAAUUAAAUAUGAUUUUCGCAUAAGUGAUCAUAAGAUUUAAAAAUCUACUAUUAAAACAUUAAUAGUCACAAAAAUUAACAGUGCUAAAAUGCUUAUCGUUGUUUAAAUAAUUAAAAUAACUAUGAAACAUGAAAAGUUUUUAGUCUAAACUUUAAUUAGGGGAAUUGAUAAUUUCAGAACAAAGUUUGAUAUUGUCAGAGCAAAAAAUCUAAAUAUGAUUAGAAACGUAUUUACUCUGGCAAUAUCAAAUUUAGCUCUGAAAAUAUUAAUUUUUUUUAAUUAGCCCCUAUAUUUGUCUAUAUUACACUUUAUUAUCUUGUGAUAUAAAAAAAUUUUCUAUGGUUUUAUAUUUAUUCAUUAUAAAAAACCUUUCAUUAAAGUCGGUGGCAAAGUGUUUUAUAUUACAAUAUAGUAAAGUACAGAACAAAUUAUAAGUUACUAAAAUACUAUAGACUAAAAUAUAGAAAAUUUUCUAUAAAUCUUCACUUUUGCACUUUUUCCCCUUACCUUUUAAAAAUCUCUAUUUUACAUUUUUAAAAGUUAAAAUUAUAGUACUUAAUCUCGCAUUGUUACUAUUUCGUCACCUAUCCAUUAUAUAUUGCUAUAAUUUCUAAGGAUAUAUAUAGUUGGUAUCCGAGUAAGUCAGUUGUAGUACACAAUUUAUUCACAGAGAAAUGAGAAAAUAGUAAUGGUACUAAGUUAAGUGCUUCCAUUUAAAAAUUUAAGGAGCAAAAUAGAGAUUUUGAAAAAAAAAAAAAAACAAAAUAAAGUGCAAAAAUACAUAUUUAUAAAAAUAUUUUCUGUAUUUUAGAAAAUAUAUUGGUAAAAUGUAUUGUUUUAUUAUUCUUUAAUUUGCAAAUCAUAUCAUUUUCACACCAAAUCUAGUAAUAGGCCUUUAUAAUAAAUUAUAAAUAAAACUAUAUGAUAAUAAAGUAAAAUAUUUCAAACAUAGGGUGACCAAAUAAAAGAAAAUUACUCUAAACAUAAAUACUCUAAACAUCUGGAGACAAUAUAUUUAUCUCUCAAAGUAUUGUAAAUCACGUUUAAUAAUUUUAAAUUUCAACUUAAGAACUUUCAAAUUUGUCACCUAUCUAUAGAACAUGGUCUACGCAAUAAUUUCUCAAAAUAAGGGUCUGCUUCGAUAUCUUGUAAUUUUAUUGUAGAGUAAUUAUAUACAUAGUAUAUGUUCGAUAAAUUCGGACACUACAACAUUUAAUAAAUAUAGAGGUCUACAGAUUUGAGCUCUUUUUAUUUUACGACAAAUUCAUAAUAUUAUUUGAAUAUUUUUGUUUUUCAAUAUCCAAAAAAGCAUUCAAACAUUCCUUUAUAAUUAUAAAUAUUAUUUUUAAUAAUAUAAUAAAAAUACUCUAAAUUUUUAGUGACGAACGCACAAUUACAAAAAAAAAAAAGAAAAAGAGGUCCCAUUCUUUGUCUCUUCUAGGAGAUUCUACUCAUGCUAAUUACAAAUAAAAUAAAAAAAAAAUCAGAGUCCAUUUUUUAAAAUAAUCGUGGUAAUUUAAAUCCCAAUUGGGUCACUUAUUACACUUGAUUUUUUAAAAAAAAAUUUCUACGAAACCUAACUGUAGUGUCCCUGAUGUUUGGUUGUCUGUGAGUUUUCAGCAUCUAAGUCUUGUCGACACAUCUGAAGAGUGUCGGGACAAGUUAGAAUCAUUUUGGCGCGAAAUAGAUGCAAAACGGACUCAACGCGAGGCGAGAGUGGAGUUCUAACAUUGAAAUCCGCAAAGUGCAGAAUUUCAGUGUUAAGUAUCGGUACCAGAGAGAGGUACCGGUACCCCAGUGGAAUUACAGAACAGGAUGCUCUCGGGUUUGCGUAUCGGUACCAGAGAGGGGUACUGGUACCCCAGUGGAAUUACAGAAUAGCAUGCUCUCGGGUUUGCGUGAGGGGAUACUGAGUACCAUCUGACCUGUCGAGUACCAGUAUCGAGCCCGGGUACCGGUACUGUAUCGGGUUGGUACCGAUACCCAGUGUGCGAGAUUGCGGGCUGAAGGCCCGAGUACCGGUAUUCCGGUGGAUUACCAGUACUCCAGCUGGAUUUUUGAGUUGGUGAGGGCAGUUUGGUCUUUCGAAUUGACGAUCAACCCAAUAUUUAUCCUUAGCCCUUAUAUAGGUGUAGAGAGCUCAGAGAGGAAGACUUUUAUUCUACUCCCUCUCUCUCUCUAGUUUUGGACGUAACUCGUGGUGAAGGUUGCGGCUCGAGCUCAGGUGAUUUUCGACGUCGAUACGGAAGGUCGUUCGAGCGUGUGUGCGUAGCAGUUGCGCCAUUGGAGGCCGGGCAAGCCCGUGGAUUUCCUCCUUUCGACUUCUCGCCGUGGUUGGACGAGCUUUUUGAGGUGGAUUGAAGUUUACCGAAAUCAUCGGAUUUCCUCCUAAGUCGAGUUUUUGUCAGCAUGUGUAUUUCUUGUGUAGUAUCAUGUUAGUAGUUCAAUUCACCGAUUUGCAUAAUUUUUUAUGAAAUAUGAGCUGGAGCUUUAAAUUCUAAAUUCGUUUUACAUGUUGGACUUGGAAUUGAUUUAGGAGAAAAUUAUUGAACCCUACACUGUCAUUUUCUAAAUAUCAGAAAUAUUUUGGAAUGUUCCCUUUUAGUGAAAAUCUAUAAACAUUUGUUGCAUUCAUUCUAUAAUUAUACUUUUACCACCUAAUAAAAUAAAAACUUAUGCUGUUUAUUAUCAGAAAAAUAAUUUUCAUAAUUUUAACAAAAUUUUUAAAUUGAAGAAUAAAACAACAAAAGUGAUAGAUCACACAUACUUAAUAAGAAAUUAUAAAAAAACGAAAGAAUUACCUACAAAAUUAAAAGCUAUCUAAAUCAUGAAAGAAAUAAAAAAAUAAUAUGUACUAAUAUAUUGUUCUACAAGGAAGAGAGAAGAGUCAAAGUUAUUAUUUUAUUAAUUUAACUGGUAUUUAACUCCCUUUUAACACAGCCUAAUUUAGUGUUUAUUAACAAAUUUAACAAUAGGAGCAUUUAUAGUAAAUUUAUAUAUUUAGAGAUAUAUGCAUAAUGUUUAUAAAAUUUUAAAAGGUUAAAAAUUCUAGAAAUUUGCUGUAAAUUUCUUUUCUUUUUUUUUUUCAUCCCGACAUUUAAAAACCUACCUUUUGUAAGUUCAAAAUUUUAAAUAAAAUGAUCAAAUUGCCCAUAUGUCUGUCAUAAAGGAAAAAAAAAUAAAAUUUUAAUAUAUUUCUAUUAUUUUAAUAAAUAUUUCUUGUAUAAAUUAUAUUAAAUAGAUAAAACAGUGACGAAAUCCUGACGAACGUAAGAUAAGUGCAUCAACUUAAAAUUUGGCCAAUUUGCAUAAAAAAUCCACUUAUUUUGGGCUUUUGCAAAACCGGGCCACCUUUUUCGUUUUUGCAGAUUCGGUCCGCUUUUUCAGCAAACUAACCAAAAUACCUUUUUUACUUUUUCUCUUUCCUCUUUCUCUCUCCUCUUCGUUUCUCUCGUUCUUUUUUUUUUUCUCGCCGGCAGAGCGGCGGCGGAAACGGUCCGUCUUGCCUCUCACCCUCAUUCUCUCGCCCUCGCCCUCGCCCUUGCCCUCGUCCACGCACCCCUCACCUUCCUCGCCUCCAACCCCGCCAAGGCCGCGCAACGACUUUUUUUUUUUUUGCUUUUUUCUUUUCUUUUCUUCUCCGACUCUUCUCCACCGUCUCCGACGACGACGCCUCUCUCGUCCUUCCCCGCCCUUCUCAUCUCUCCCUCUCCCUCAUUCUCUGCGCCUUCCGACGACGGCAUCUUCGCCGCGCCGACGUCGACGUCGACGUCGACACCGUGGAGGUCACUGCGGCGCUAUAGCGUCGGAGCGGGGUCCUUAGCGGCGUCGUUGCAGCACCGUGGCUGUUGGCAGAAAGGGUAACAAAAAAAAUUAUAGAAAAAAUAGAAAAAAAAAAAUAAGAUAAAAAAUUAUAAAAAAGAAGGUGAACAUAAAUUGCAUCGCUUAACUGUAAAAAAAUUAUAAGUUGCACUACUUAAGAUGUAAACUGCAGCUUUAAGAUGAAAACUACACUAUUUAAACGAAAAUUACACUCUUUGAGAAAUAUUUACACUGUUUUUCUUCUUAUUACACUCUUUUAGAUGUAAACUGCAUCCAUUAAAAUGAAAGUUACACUCUUUAAACAAAAAGUUGGCACAGUUUCUCCUCUUGUUCACCAUUUCUUCUCUUGUUACACUAUUUUUUAUCUUAAACUGCGCACCGUUAAGGAUAUUUAUACUAUUUCUCCUCUGUUUGUUUUGCAUGUCUCCUCUUGUUGCACCAUUUCUGUGUAAACAGAGAAGAAAUAGUGCAAUAAGAGGAAAACAGUGCAACAAGGGAGAAACUGCACUGUUUUAAAAGAUAUAUAUACUGUUCUCUCCUUGUUGCACCAUUUCUGUGUAAACAAGAGAAAAAAUAGUGCAACAAGAGGAGAAACUGUACUGUUUUAAAUAUAUAUCUAUCUGUUCUUCUCUGUUUGCACUGUUUCUCCUCUUGUUGCACCAUUUCUGUGUAAACAAUAGGAGAAAUAGUACAACAAGCGGAGAAACAAUGCAAAUGAGAGGAAAAACUGCACAUUUUUAAAGAUAUUUAUACUGUUUCUCCUUUUGUUGCCACUGUUUCUCCUCUUGUUGCACCAUUCUGGUGUAAACAAGGGAGCAAAUAGUACAACAAGAGGAGAAACAGUGCAACAAGAGGAGACACAGUAUAAUAUAUUAAAAGGUGCAGUUUAGGAUAAAAAAUAGUAAAAUUUUCGUAUCAAGAGUAUAAUUUUAUCUUAAAGCAGCCAGUUUAAUCUUAAAAGUGCAACUUUAUAAUUUUUUUUGUAAUUAACGAUACAAUUUCAUCUUCAUCCUUUUUUUAUAUAAUUUUUUAUCUUUAUUUUUUUCUGUUUUUUUUAUAAUUUUUUUUGUCACCUUCUCUGCCAACAGCUACGGCGCCUGUGACGACGCCGCUAAGGACCCCCUGCUCCGAGGCUGUAGCGCCGCAGUGACCUCUACGGUAUUGACGUCGGCGCCGGCGAAGAUAAAUCGUCGUUGGAGGCGGCAGAAAAUGAGGGAGAGGGAGAGAUGAGAAGGGCGGGGAAGGGCGAGAGGCUUCGUCGUCGGAGACGGUGGAGAAGAGUCGGAGAAGAAAAGAAAAGGAAAAAGCAAAAAAGAAAAGUCGCGUCGCGGCCUUGGUGGGGUCGGAGGCGAGGAAGGUGGGGGGUGCACGGACGAGGGCAAGGGCGAGGGCGAGAGCAUGAGGGUGAGAGGCGAAACGGACCGUUUUUGCCUCCGCUCCGCCUACGCUCUGCCGGCGAGAAAAAAAAAAAACGAGAGAAACGAAGAAGAGAGAAAGAGGAAAGAGAAAAAGUAAUAAGUGUAUUUUGGUCAGUUUGCUAAAAAAACGGACCGAAUCUGCAAAAACGAAAAAGGUGGCCCAGUUUUGCAAAAGUCCAAAAUAAGUGAAUUUUGUAUGCAAAUUGGCCUUAAAAUUUUUAGGGAUAAAAUAAAAAUUUUUAAAACUCAAAGAAGAAAAAUAAAAAAGUGAAUAUUUAUUUUCUAAAAAAUAUUUCAAUAGGCCUACAAUUGCUCCCAAAACAAAUAUUAAAAAAAGGGUUAAUUUCACAUAGGUCUUUGGAAAUAUAGUAAAUUCAAAUAUAUUUCUACAAAAUUCAACUUUCAUAUAUUAUCCCUAUAAAAGUUCUAAUAUUUUCAAAUAUGUUCUCUCUGGUUUGUUAUUGUCAAAAUACAAUUUUUUUUAUAAGUGAAAUGAUCUUUUUGCCAUCAUAAAUAUAUUCCUCCAAAAGUCUCAACUAUUAACUGAAAAGUGGUAAAAAGGUUAAUUCACCUCAUUAACUAACUAUGGUUAAGUAUUUUAUCUAUGGUUAAUAAAUUUUUUCUAACAGAUUCUAACUGCAUGAACAUAUUUGAAAAUAUCAGGACUUUUAGAGUGACAAUAUAUAAAAAUUAAAAUUUAUAGGAAUAUAUUUAUAAUUCACUAUAUUUGGAAGGAUCAGUAUGAAAUUAACCCUUAACAUAACAUACAGGGACAUGAUUGGGGCUGGGAGCAAUUUCGUAAAUAAAACUAUAUUUAGGGACAAUGUUGAAAACAGGGGUACUUAUGAGAUUUUGGGGCAUUGCCCGGUUGCCCCUAGAAUCGUGGGGUCAACCCCAGAGUUUAAGUUGUACCCGCACCACACGACCUAUGUGUGAUUUCACAAGUGGGCGAUCCGAGGUGAAUUAAUGCCCGAAAUGACUGAAAUUACUAAAUUACCCCUCAAUUCUGGCUUAUAUCUAGGGACAAAAAUUUGCUGGGCAUCGUCCCAAACUAUUUAGUUUGUGAACGAUGCGGAUGGGUGCCACGUAGCCCAUCUGACGGCACCGAUAAAAGAAAAGAAAAAAAAAAUUGAUGCCCUAUGUUUAUAAAGAGAGAGAGAGAGAGAGAAAAAGCAGCAGAAAGAGAGGAGGGCGACCGUCAGAUGGGCCACGUGGCGCCCAUCCGCAUGGUCCCCAAACUAAUAGUUUCGGGGCGCUGCCCUUUUGUCCCAUAUUUAGGAACUAUGUGGUCUAAGAUAAAAAAAGAUUAAAAAAAUUUGAUUGCUACGAAAUUAAAUUGUGUUUAGAAGAAUUGAUUUUGCUUGAAACUGUAGAGUGUUUAGCUAAAUCUAGCAGAACACGACUUUUUUGAAACGAUUUUAUAAAGCAAUUUAGCAAUUUUUUUUAUUCUUUACAAUAAUAAUUAUUUGGCUGAAUUUUAUUUUAAAAUCUGAAUUAAAAAUUUUAAUUUGCCAUUUGAAUUUUAAAAAUUUAAAUUUAAAAUCUAAAUUACAAUUUAAAAUGACAUUGAUAGUUAAAAUCUAAAUUUUAAAUUUUAAAUUUUAAAAUUUUAAAAUUUUAUUUUAAAUUUUAAAUUUGAAAAAUAUGAUUUUAAAUUUUAAAUUUCAAAUAUUGAAAUUUAGAUAUUAAAUUUCAAUAUUUACAAUUUUAUAAUUUUAAUUUUUUAUUUUAAAAUUUGAAACUUAAAUUUAGAUUUUAAAUUUUAAAAUUUUAAAAUUUAAAUCUAAAUUUUAAAUUUCAAAACUUUAAAACUAAAAAAAUUUAAAAUUUUCAUUUUAAGCUUCAAACUUAAAUUUUAUAUUUAGAUUUUAAAUUUCAUGUUUUGAAUUUUAAAUUUUAAGCUUUCAAAUUUAAAAUUUAUAUUUUAAAUUUAACAUCAAAUUUUAAAUUUUGGUUUAUUUUAAAAUUCAAAAUUUUUACUUUUUAUGUCAAAUUUUAAUUUGAAUUUAAAUUUUAAAACAAAAUUCAACAAGAAAAGUUAUUAUUUGCCAGCAGCAAAAAGAUUUUGCCAAUCAACUCUAUAAAAUUAUAUUAAAAAUAUCGGUUUCAUGUUAAACUCAGUCAAAGGCUCUACAGUUUUUACUUAAAAUUAAUUCUUCAAACUAAAAUAAAUUCUACAGAUAUUAUUUUUUCAGAUUUAGGCCAAAUAACUCCUAAAUCUUAUACCCUAGCCUUCUAAUGAUCCAUACUAACUAACUUGUCUUAUCAUUUUUUAUGUUUAACUAAAACAUCAAGGGUACGUUUGGUUCAUCUUUUUUCACUUAAAAUUUGAAAUUGGAAUAGAUGAUUCCAUUUUGUAGGUGUUUAGUUUAAGGAGGUUAGUUGGAUCGAGAUUUUUUCAAUCACUCCUUUUUUUAAUCCAACCUCAGAGGCACGAUUGGAAAUUGAAUCCAAAAAUGAAUACUUGCUCCAGAAUUAUCUAAAUUCAAUUUUUUAACUUAAUUGUUAAUUAAAAUAUAAGUUUAAAUUCAAAAUUGAAUUUUUAAUUUUGAUUUGGUACAUAAAUUAAAAUUUAAAUUCAAUCAAGCAAUUUGAAUUUGAUCUAUAAAUUUAAAUUUUACGUUCAAAUUGAAAAUUUCAAAUUUUAUUUUAAUUUUAUAUUAAAUUUAUGGAUUUAGAUUGGAAUUUAAAUUAUAAUUUUUAAGUUUGAAUUUGGAUCAAAUCAUAAAUUUGUAUUACGUUUUGAAUUGUCAACUCAAUUUUAAAUUUUAAAUUUUUAAAAAUUUACAUUUAUGUCACGUCCCAGAUUGCCACGUUUCUCCGGGCACGCUAACAGACUCGCCGUAUAAACAGGAAUUUUUCGUGUAUACGAAGCGAUAGCUGUACCUAUAUAAAGAAUAUAGCUGCACAUGAGGUAAAGAGCUGCUAUAACUAAAACAUGUAUAUAAAACAUAGAGGAUCCAAUGUACAUACAAAAGCUCCGAAUCAACCUCACUCCAGCGAGUACACAAUCCAACAGUAUGUACAUGAACCUCAAAACUAUCUUUGAUGGGCGCUUCUCUAGCAAACGACCAGGGCUGGUAGGAGUUUAGCUCGCGAUUCUCUUACCACGGUCGGAAACAGCAACAGCAGUAGCCGCAGAUAAAGGCUCUACAAAAAGGUGGUAACAACUGGAUGUGAGAACUACUGCAAAAUAGAGUAGUUCUUAGUGGGUACCGUCACCGACCUCAACGGCCCACCCACUAAGUCUACAGCAACAAUAUGUACAGGAUAGUAAGGAAAGUUGGAAAGAACUCUACAGCUACAUGCCCCUAUACUAUCGCUACCAAAAUAAGCUAUCUGUAGACAUAAACAAGCAUCACUAGCUACCACUGACCCAAUCUCACACGAGCUGCCCAAACAGACCCACCCUGCCUAUAAUCAAGCUAUACCGCACGCCACCCACAGGGAUGGCCGGUUCAAGUAAACUAUCCAAACAGGACUGCUGCGAUAUCAACGCAAGUCAAAGGCUCACUCCGGAGCGACACUCGUGGGCGCGACCCAACUAAGUAUGCAAGCGUGUCUCUGCCGAGCUCAAACAGCCUCACACAGGCUAUAGUCAAUGCAAAUGGGUUAAACUGGUCUAACAAAUAAAGCUCACGUACCCUUGGCACAACCUGAUACAAAAUACAAAAAUCUGGGUCCACCGUCGGUCCCGACGGCAUCCGACAGUCUAAUACAGUCUAACUCUACUGUAAAAACAUACUCGGCCCCUCAGCACGAGCGUAAUCUUAACCUGCACUAGUCUGGAUAUCCACCUCACACUAACAGCAGUGAUACAAAAGAACAACAGCUCCUAAAGCUAAAUUCGGUUACUUUUCGAAAAGUAACAGUGUAGGUUUAGCAAAUUUUCUCCGAAGUCAAUUCCAGGUUCAGCAUAUAAUUUAACUAAAUUCUAGAUUAUGCUCCCAAAACUCAUAUUUCAUAAAACAUGCAAAUUCUGAAUUUGAGCUACUAUCAUGAUAACCGAAACAAGAACUACAUGCCAACAACGCUACGACUUAGGAGGAAAUCCGACGAUUUCGAUAAAUAUCAACCCACCUCGAACGCUCAUCCAAUGUCAGCUACAAGUUGAAAGGAGAAACUCUGCAUGCUCGCUCAACCUCCAACGGCCUCAACUGCGAUGACCCACGCGCACGAACGGUUUCCUAGAAAGUAAAGAGUCCAAAUGAGCUCGAUCCUCGACUUCCCAACGAACGGCGUAUACAAGCUAGAGAGAGAGAGGAGAAGAGGGGAAGUAUGCUGGUUCUCUAAGCUUCUCAGGUGGAUAAAUAGGCUAGGGGUGGUUGGCGAUACAAUCGACAACCAAAAAAGAUCAAAAUACCCCUUACCAACUCAAAUCCGCCUUAGGGGUAUCGGUACUCAACUUGGGUAUCGGUAUUCGCCACGCCAGUUAGCAAAGUUCGCGCGCUGGGUACCGGUACUAGCCCGAUACAGUACCGGUACUUAGUCCCAGUACCGGUACUCAGCAUCAAAUUGCACAAACUCGAGAGCUCCCAGUUCUGAAAUCCCUCUGGGGUUCCAGUAUUUCUCUCCGGUAUCGAUACUCAACACUGAAAUCCUAUACUUUGCAGAUUUCAGUAUCAGAGCUCUACUUUUGCACUGCGCCGAGUCCGAUUUGCGUCUAAUUCGCACCAAAACGACUCCGACUUGUCCCAACACCCACUAGACGUGUCGACAAGCAACAGAUGCUGAAGUCUCUCAGACCGCUAAACCCCAGGAACACUACAAUUUAAAAGUUUGAUAUAAAAUUUUAAGAUUUAAAUUUUAGUUUGAAUUUAAUUAAUAAAUUUAAUUCUAUAUUCUGAGUUGUGAACUCAUUUUUAAAUUUAAUCUUAUAGUUUUAUAUUUUAAUUUAUUUUUUAUUUUCGAUAUUUUUCUAAUAAUUAUUUUUUUUUUCAUCUCAACCAAACAAUGAAGAUAGGAAUCAAUUACUCCGAUUUCAAUUGUUAUUAUAAACCAAACAUAUUAAAAAAUUUACCAUUCUGUUUCUGAUUCCAGUCUAUUAUCAUUUCCAUCCCGAUUCCAAUUACUAUUAUGAAUCAAAUGCGCCCCAAAAGAGUUUUCUCAACCCUUAAAUCUAAAGGUGUAAGACGCGCCCCAAAUGGCAUUUUUCUAAGUAUCAACUCUGUUAGAUAUGCCUCAAAUUUUGGUUAUUAAGUUCAAUUUUGUACAUCUAAUAUGCCAACAUUUUCGCGGUGCGACAAAUCUGAGAAAAUAAUUUGUAGAGGAAAAAAAAGAAUAUUUGUGGUGGAAGUAGAGGGCUCGGGCCAAUGAGAACUACUUUCUUCUUUUUGCCCUAGAAGUAGUACAAAGUAUUAUAUUUUUACAACAGAUAAUUUCAUCAAUACCCCUCUAGGAGACAGUAAUUUCAUAAAUACCUCUCUAAAUUAAAAAAAUAUCAAUAAUACCCCUCUAAAAAGCAAAAAUAUUCACAAUUACCCUUAAGACUAACAUUCCGUUAAAAGGUCAUCUAAAAUUCUAUAAAUACCAAUUUUACCCUUAUUACUAAUUUAAUUUAAUGUUGAAUAAUUCAACAUUCUCUUUAAAAUUUUACAAUUAAAGAUCUACAGUCUAUUAAGUAUAAUAAUUAAAUCUUGUUAUGAUUUUUCGCUUUCAAAUUAUAUAAUAGUUGUAAUGCAAUUGUCCAUUGUAGUAUUAUUCAACAUUAAAUAUUUCAAGAUUUUUUUUUGAAUUUUAUUUAAAUAACUUUCAUAAGUCAUAUUAAAAACAUUUUGAUAUCAAAAUUCUUGAUAUUAAAGUAUUUUUCAUAUGACCGGCUUAAGCAACAGUUUUCUAAUUGAACAUUUAUUGUCAACAAAAGAAGUAACAUUGUAUGAAGACCCUCUCAACUAUUAGUCCACUUCAGCAUGGUCUUAACUUUGAAUUUUAUAUAUAUAUAUAUAUAAUAUUAUAUAUAUAUAUAUAAUAAUUAUUAAUAUAUAUAGUGGACUGCAUGCCGGAAGCAGAGCCCUCCGUGCUUCAAAUUGUUUUCGAUGUUCGGACUUUCGAUCGACGAUCGUCCAUAGAGUUGAUUAGCAGUAUUUGAAUACGCAUAAAAAAUAAAUUUAUACAAUUUGCAUAUCAUUUUGACUAGUGAUCGAAGGGGCUCAAAAUCAAUAUUUUAAUGUGUUGGUUAUCGCCUUUCAAUUACGGGUAGAAAAAAAUCCAAAUCACACUGAUUUGAAAGAAAUUCUUAUAUCAUAUAAAACAGAUCAAUAACUUUGAUCUAAAAUUUUUAAUGAUCAGUAUAUCAUAUUUUGUAAAUUUAUUUCAGCCGUUAUUUUGAGCCCUUCGAACUAGCAAAUGAAUAGACAAAAUCUGCAAAAUUUUAUUUCAGAUAGUUAAGCUAUCAGAUCAACUCUAACGGAUGCCGAUCGUCGAUUCGAAAUCCGAACAAUUAAAAGCAACUGCAACACGAAGUGCUCCGUGCUCCAUGAAGCCAUACAGAAUCGAUGCUAAUAUAAUAUAUAUAUAACGUCCGGCUCUACUAGCUAUAAUACAGCAAGACACUUGGUGCACAGUUUUCCCGCAGUUAGAUUACCCAUCUCAUAACAUUCACAUACGCCUAGAUCAUACAUAUUUCAACCAAGAACCACUCAACCCUAGCCAGCAUACCUAACCGCACAUUCUUAAUCCAAUGCAAAAAACUUGUAACACAGGCUCGUGCAAUUAAGCAUAGACCGACUCAGAGAACAGCUACUAUGCUCAUAUAGACAAAUCAUUGGCUCACAUUUUUCAUUGGAUAAGAGAAUGUCGGUUAGGAUAUUGGCCCCUAGGGUUGAUGGGAUGUUUUGUUUUUUAGAAUAGUAUGAUACGGUGCAGUGAAAGGUAGAUCUAACGCGGAUACUCUGUACACAAGUGCUCGUGCUAUAUAGCAAUAGUAUCCAUUCCAUAAUAUAUUAGAGUAUAUAUAAAGGGCUCAAUACUCUUUAUAAUAUAUGAGCCUCUAUACCAUGAAGUAUGCUUACGAUAAUGGAGCUUCCGAAUUGACGAUCCACUCCGUUAAAUAUGAUCUAGAGUAUUUGAAACUUUUAAAAAAUAAAUUUUGUAAUUUUUCGAAAUCAUAAUAACGUCCAUCAAGUGGGCAUAAAAUGAACAGUCAAAAUUUCUAUUUUGAUCUUUAUCUAGAUAGUGAAUAAAAUUUUCUAUCAAAAAUUCAAUCGAUUCCAAUUUUUUUACACCAUUAAAAUAGCAAGUAUUCCAUAUCGACCAUUAAAAAUUGUCAAUUUUUAGAUCUUUUGAUUGUAAUGAUACAAAAAAAUUAUAAAAUUUGAUUUCUUGAAGUUUUUAAAUAUUCUAGAUAAUAUUUAACGGUAUGGAUCGUCGAUUCGGAAGCUUUAUUAUUGAAAACGACUUAUGAGUACGAAGGCGAUCGCACUCAUAAGAGUAUAGUAGCCUGACUCUCUCUCUCUCUAUAUAUAUACAUCCUCUCAACCUUAGUGAUUCUUUACUUUUGCAAUUGAGUGUUUUUUUUUUCCAACUAAGUUAAAAAUUUUAUCAAAUUCAUGUAUGAGGGAUCUCAAUUGAAAAACUUUUAACUAAGUAAAACGCAAAAACAAAACAAAAACUAAAAGUUCAAGGGUCCUAAAUGUUAAAAAAUUGAAGUUAAGGGGGUCUAUUUCAAAAUGACCUAUAGGUGAGGGGUUUCCACAUAUUUUAUCCACCAAUAACUAGUGUUAGAAAUGUUAUUUUUUAAAAGUUAGAAGGGUAUUCAUGAAAUUACUCCUUUAUUAUUUGUUAUCUAAAGAACAAUCCAACCAACUUUUUAAGCGGUAAAUUAGUCAUUUUAUAACUUUACCCUAACGCCAGUUAGAAGAAAGGAUAGCUGUGAUAAUUUUCUACAUUUGAAGGGGUAUAUAUAAUAUUUUUAAUUUAUAGGGGUAUUUGCGAUUAUUUCAUGUUUAAGAGGGCUAGUGAUGAAAUUGCCCCUUUUUACAAUAUUAUACUACCAUUUUUGUGUAGUAAAAUUUUCUCCUACUUCGCCCCUCGUUUUCUUUACUUGUGAUAAGUUUAUUUUACAGAUUGUUAUUUUUUAUUUUUAAUUGUGCGCUCGUCGUAAUAAACUCAAAAAUACAUCAAACAGAAUUCACAAUAAUAGGUUUUAAUAGCUUUAUAUAUAUGGGCUGUUCAAGGCCCUCUCUCUCUCUCUCUCUCUCUCUAUCUCUCUCUCUCCCUCUCUAAAUCACACCUAAUUAAUCAAGCUGGUUCCUUUUGGACUACAUGUGGGUUGAAAUGGUGCAGAGCCUAUGGGGCUAGAGAUGGUUUGGCAUUUGUGGUAGCAUUACUUGAAAGGGAAAAAGAAGAGUCCUGUCCACAAUCCCCAGGUCAUAAAUUUGUCACAUCAACCAUAUGGGGUUUAGCACUUGGCCUCUAUCAUGUCCCUUACCAAUUGGCCUACAAAGGAAUCAUUUUCAUAAUCAUAAUAAUUAAUUAUUAUCACCCCUGCCAAAAUAUAUGCAAAAUUAAUUGUACAGAAGGUUAUAUCGGUGAUACCACUGGUUGGAAGCGUGAUUUUUUCUAAUACGAAUUAUUGAAACUGGUAUUUAUGCUGAUGCCGAUUAUGUAACCCGCGAUUUAAAAGAAAAUAAAAUAAUAUGGAGAAAGAAUAUUGGAGCAAGAAGAAGAUAAUUAAAUUAAUACUUUAUCAAUAAAAGAUGAUUAAUUACAUUCUGUGCAACACCUAUAUAUGCAACCAUAUUUAUUAUAGCUUAUUUAUCUAACUAAUCCAUGCCUAACUAUAUAUAGCCAUCAAAUCAUAACAGAUGAUAAAUCUAAUUUUAUUUUGGAUAAUUACAUAUCCUAAUCAUAAUCAAAUAAAAGAUUUAAACUUAUCUCUAAUUAUAUUUUAAUUAAGCUUAUUGAAUAAACCCUUUGCAAACUUUUACUUGUUUGGCAUGUAAUUCUCAAUUUUGGGGUCAUUUGAAUCCUACAACCUAAUUUUCGAAUAUUUUGAUUUUUACCAUCCAAUCUUCUUUUUGUUUUGAUUCAGAUCGUGCGUCUAAUGGUUCUAAAAAACUAUUGGCCAAAUACGUUUCAUUGAAAAAUUUAAUCUCCGCUGUUUAAUGAGGUAGGUGUGGAGAAUGGCUGAACCGAUGCACCGAACACAAGAAAUAAUUAACUUUUAAAAAUAAAUUAAAUAAUUUAUAAUUUUAGUAAAUAAAUGAAAAUUUUUAAAAGUUAUGUGGUAAUUUUGAAACACUUCAGUGUUUAGAUAAGUUCCAUAUAUUUGUACCCAAUAUUUUUGGAGUAAAGAAUAUCUGCAAGUGAUUAAUCCUUUUAUUAUACUCUUGUAAAUACCAACUUUAUAGGAAUAUUUAUAUUUUUUAAAACACAGAAUAUUGGUACAAUUUUACAUGCAUUCUUUGCUUUUGAUUUGUGAGCAUCUUCCUUGCUGAGAUCUCCCAGUGAAUCAAAACAAAGAUAUUUUUCAUUUGUUGCUUUUGUUUGGACGUGGCAAACGAACGGAAUGGAUAAAUCGUGGAUAGGUUAUUGUACGUACCUACAGAUUAUAUGGAUAUGAAUAAAAUUUAAGAAAAACUUCAAAAACUCCCUUUGUGGUUUCACUUUUUUUUUCACUUUAGUACCUUGUGGUUUAAAGUGUAUCAAGUUAGUACCCUGUAGUUUAUCACUUUAUCACUUUAGUACCAUGUGGUUUAAAGUGUAUCAAGUUAGUACCAUGUGGUUUUGCACUUUAUCACUUUAGUACCCUGUGAUUUCGCACUUUAUCACUUUAGUACCCUGUGGUACCCUGUGGUUUUUAAACCACAGGGUACUAAAGUAAUAAAGUACGAAACCACAGGGUACUAAAGUGAUAAAGUGCAAAACCACAGGGUACUAACUUGAUACACUUUAAACCACAGGAUACUAAAGUGAUAAAGUGAGAAACCACAGGGUACUAACUUGAUACAUUUUAAACCACAGGGUACUAAAGUGAGAAAGUAUGAAACCAUAUGGGGGAUUUUUAAAGUUUUUUCUAAAAUUUAUCUGUUAAUUUUUGGAUAGUCUACAUGUUUAUUCAUACCAGUCUAUAGACGAGGUGGAAUGCGGGUUAUCUAUAAGAUAUUCUUCCUUUUUUUUAGCUCCUAUACUUUUCAGGUGCUAAAUACAUAUGCAUUAUUUUUAAAAAACUAUAACAUAACUUAUUGUUUCACUACAACAUAAUUAGGCUAUAGAGACACAUGUUUGGGACACUUUUGAGUAAGUGUCCCAUUUAUACUAAAACUUUAAAAAAUAUCUGCUAGUGCCUAAAUAUAAAGCACAAUCCAACCAAAAAUAAAAGAUUACUCUACUCAACCCACCACACCCAAUUCAUUUGGCCCGAUUACAAACAAAAAAGAAAAAAAAAAAAAAAAAAAAAUCAAUUGCCAUCUUUUCUUCUCUCUUCACUCAAUCCACUGAAAUUCUAGACGAAGAGCCUUUCCUGUCGUCCUCCUCCGCCACCGCAACCAAUGAGAUAUAGUUUCGGCGGUUGCUAAAUGCUUAAAUAAGUGUUUGUAAAUUAGCAGCACUCCUUUAGGUUAUAGCGACACUCUUUAACUGUCACUAUAUACCUAGCGAUCCCACAUAUAGCAACACUUUUUAAAAGUGUCGGUAAUUUUAGCUAGCAACACUUUUUUGACAUGUACCUAUAUUUAAAAGUGUCGCUAUAGACCGUUUUUGUUGUAGUGUUUGAAAUAUCACAACAUACAGUAAAUAAUAUAAAGCCUUAAAAUACAUAAAUUAAUGUAAAAAUAUUUUACAUGUAAGCCGAGCCCCUGGAGGAUGAUAGAGCAAAUGCGUGCGAGGGAGGCAGUGCGGUAGGAAAAGAUUGCCACAAUGUUAGUUUAAGUUCUAUAACACGAAUAAAAAUGUCGUGAGAAUCAUUACUACAACGAGAUCGUCAAAUUAACCAUCUAUUCGUGGAACACUGGAUUUUUAAAUCGGUUAUGAACAAUCGAUACGAGAAUUUUUUUCCCUUUACUUUGUUUAUAAUUUUUAAAUUUAAAUAUAAUUUUUUUAAAAAAAAAAUUGAGAUUUCACGGUAAUCUAAAUGCACCUCCAAAAAAAAAAAAAUAACAAGAAGAAAAAGAAAGAAACAUUUGCUGAUAAAUAUGCAUUAGAUCAACUUUGUGGAUUAGUACUAGUCAUUCUUUUAUAGGAGUUAAGCAUAAAAGGUCAUGCAUUUUUGUAUAUAUAAAAAAUAAAACCAUAAAUAAAAAAAAAAAAAGAGCUUUGAACCAUGCAAAGAUGAUAAGUUAAUUAGUAAUAUCAAAUUGCCCAAUUGGCUUUGAGGAAUUAAUAUAAUAAAAAAAAUUUUAUUAUGCUUGGGGAGUACAAGGUAUCCAUUGUUGAGAAUAUUAAUUAAAAGAGUUUGCGUCAGCUUUUAUAAUUAAUUAAAGUAUAUAUAAGGAGCAUUUGCAAGUAAUGGUUCUUCGAAAUAAAUUUUAUAAAAGUUAAAAAGGAUUAUAUAUGAAUAAAUAAAUUAUUAUUAUAAUAACUCUACUGAUCCUAGGAUAAGGUUUAAUUGGGGGGCCAUGAUGUUGACCACACCAACGAAUCUGGGUUUGGGUCGAAUAAAAACAAAACUUGGCACUGGUGAAAAUAAGAGGAGGUGAUCCCACACAGGAAUGUCUGUGGAUAUGCCAAAUUUUAUUCGAAUUCGAAUUUGAGCGUAACGAAUUUAUUCAAUACUAAACAGAUAUAAUUUUGGAUAUGCGUAUAAAAAAUAAAAAGUCUGACGAAUUUGGAUUCGAAUAUGAUUUUGUUUGUACCUAACCCGUACUCAUAGUUAGUUAAUUUGGAUUCGGCAAAAAUUCGGUACGGAUAUAAUACGCAUAAAAUUCAUUUUUUAAUUUGGAUUCGGUAUAAAAUAUAAAAUAUAAGAUAAUUUAUAUUUAAAAAUAAAAAUUUAUAAGUUUUAAUUUAUAUUUUUAAUAAUUCGGAAAUAAUUCGCGAAUAAUUCGGCUAGCCCAAAAAUUCACGAAUAAUUCACUUUCUUUGCGAAAAAUUCGUAAACGGACCGUUUAAUUCGGAUUUUCAAUAAUUCACGAAUAAUUUGCGAAUUAACUAACUAGGCCCGUACUCUGAUUGAUUUUACAUUAUAUAAUGGGAUAAUAUCUAAUAUGCUUCUGAAAAUUUCUAAAAUAUCUAAUAUACUCUUUUUUUAUUUCAAAUAUACUCCUUCUAUAUUUCUCUAUUAUUUAAAUACCCUGCUUUUAGUACCCGGUCGUGGGUUAAAUCUGAAUUAAAUUUGUACCAGAGUUUAAAAAACAUUUGAAAUACUUUUUUGCCUUAACUCAAGAGCAAAUAAGAAAAAUAAGAAAAAUUGAGGAUAGUAAAAAAGUAUAUUUAAAAAAUUAAAAAAUAAAAUUGUCACACCCCAAUAAUUUCAUAUCGGAUAGGAAUGGGAAUGUGAGUAUGUAUAUAAGAGACUUAGACAUUAGUAAUAAUAACUGGGCUUAAGCAUUUUAGGCUUGUAGUUGGGCCCAACGAAUUAUUGUUGCUAGUGGGCUGGAUCGUUACAUUUGGUAUCAGAGCCAAUCACCAGCCGAAAAUAUGUGGCUAGUCUCGACUGAGUCAGGGUCUGAAAGACAAGGUGAUAGGUUAUGCCGGAGUCUGUAUGACAAGAUGACCGGCCCGGUGAUCUUGGGCUGGCCUGAUGAUCUUGGGCUGUGUGUGUGAUUGGACUGACGAGGAUGUCAGGGUCUUAACGGGAAGAGUGUGUCACACCCCAAUAAUCCCACAUCGGGUAAUCUUGUGCUGUGUGUGUGAUUGGACUGACAAGGACGUCAGGGCCUUAACGGGCCUAAUAAUCCCACAUUAGAUAGGAAUGGAGAUGUGAGUGGGUAUAUAAGAGACUUAGACACUAGUAAUAAUAACUGAGUUUAAGCAUUUUGGACUGAUGGUUGGGCCCAACGAAUUAUUGUUGCUAGUGGGUUGGAUCGAUACAAAAAUACUUCUUUCACCCCUAACUAUAGAGUAAUAAAAAAAAUUGAUACAGUAGAAGGAUAUUUUUGAAAGGGCAAAAUAGUAAUUUCAUCAAGAUAACAGCUAUUGCUAAUAGUUCACUAACAAAAUUUAACUCUGGGAAUAUAUUUGAAGUAACUUACAACAUUAAUAAGAUAUUUUUAAUAUUAGCCUUCUAAGAGAAAUAAAUCAAAAGUCGGAAACAUUUUAGAGAUAUAUAAGCAAUUGCCCAUUAUAUAAUAUAUACAUGUAUAUAUAAAUAAAUAUUUGAUAUUAUAUUUGAAUUUAUAUUUUAAAAUUUUAUUUUUAAUAUAAUAUGGUUUGAAAUAUGGUUAAGAGAAAUAAUUAUUUCAUGUUCGAAUUUUUCGGGUUCAGCUUCGGUUUUCAGAUUUUUGGUUGGAUUCGAAUUUGACUAUGGAUUUUUAAAAUUCAUCGGAUUAAAGUUUCAAUUUUGGGUUUAGUUGUGAGACCCCAGAUAGUCCUAUAUAUAAAGAUAUAAUAGAGCUAAACUCUUAACCCGGCUUAAGCAUUUUGGGUGGUGGCUAGACCCAAGAGGUUAAGAGAGUUAAGCGUGCUAGGACGGGAGUAGUCCUAGGAUGGGUGACCCCCUGGGAAGUCGGGGCGUCACAUUAGUACUUGUGAUCAGAUUCGGCUUUUCGGAGAUAUAUCCCGAAUCCGACUUGUUGACAUCCCUAAUCACAUAGUAAAAAAAUAAUAAUAAUAAAUAAAUAAUAAAAUGGUCGGGAUUAUUUAUACCGUGAGAUCCGUCUAUCCGUUGUUCAUGUCUGUUGUUCAUGUAGCUUUUAUAUUUGUGAGGACUAUAUGAACAACGACGGAUAGAGCAGUUUUAUUUGGUGACCAGUGACCACCCCACCGAUAUCCCUUUUUUUUUCGCACCGCAUGUUUACAGAGAACUGUACUGAAAAAAAAUAUAACAAUUUUAGAUAAAGACGCACAUAACUUAUCUAAACUAUAGACCAUUUUGAAUCAGUUAUUCAAUCUUUUAAAAUUUUAAUCUAACUAUCUAAUCUUUCAAUUUGUUUGAUUUCAAGGUAAUUCAACGACUUAAAAAAUCAUAAGCAUGUAAGCUCCUGUGCUUUUAGGGAAGGAGGAGCUCUAACCUACAAAAUUAUUCCUUUUUUAAAUACUUAAUAAAUUCUC